UACAGAGGAGCCAAGCGUUGUCCGGAUUGACUGGGCGUAAAGCGCACGCAGGCGGAUGCGCGCGUGGGGUGUGAAAUCUGGCCGCUUAACGGCCAGGCGCCAUCCCAUACGGCGCGUCUGGAGCCUUGCAGAGGUCGGUGGAAUUGCCGGUGUAGUGGUGAAAUGCGUAGAUAUCAUGAGGAAGACCAGUGGCGAAGGCGGAUCUCUGGACAGUUACUGACACUGAGGCACGAAGGCCAGGGGAGCAAACGGG
RNAcentral lists this ribosomal RNA (253 nucleotides) under uncultured bacterium. RNAcentral's name for it is "partial 16S ribosomal RNA". It matches the Rfam family "Bacterial small subunit ribosomal RNA", at positions 524 to 776 of the family's 1533-position model. The record is from RNAcentral.